CGCAUACAGUUAGCUCUUGAUGCACUUUACUCCAAGAGCCCAACGAAAUCAGCUAGCCGAACGAGAUAAUUGCAAAUCGCCAUUAUUUAUAGAAGUGUCGGUAAACUGUGCUACGGCUCUCCUAGUUCUCUUCUCUUCGAAAGUGUUCUUCAACCUCGUUAAUUCCGUUCCGAUGAGCAAUCCACCCGAUAUAGGAAACACACAGAGAAUAUCUAGACUAGAAAAUUGUCUGUGAAAUAUGUCGAUACGAACGAAACCACGAUGACUAUUAUUUUACUGGUUUGCCGCAUAGAUAAACAUAAUUGACUACAUAAACAGAAAAUGGCCAUACCAAAAGAUGACGACGAGAGCAACCAAGACUAUCUUUUCUACUCUCGUCAACGAAGGAUUUAAGACAUUGCCGGCUUGGGUUACACAUCACGGAUAAAAGGAGGAGAUACGUUUCUCAUGUUUUGCCGAGAAAUUCUCGUAAAUUCUUCAACAUGGACCAACCUUUCCUCGUCCUCCAUUCUCGCAUAUCCUUUACCAUAGAAUGUUAGGACCGACUAAGGUGUCGUAAAAAAGAGGGGAAAGAGAUUUAUGCUUGGAUUUGUUUAAUUGUUUUAGUCUCGUCGCCGUGAGAUCCACGAAUUCGCGUACUAAAUAACAAACUCCCCCAAUGGGGGUAUUUCAAAUAAAAGAAAAAAAGAGAGAGAGAGAAAGAAAAAGAAAAAAAACAGAAGCGAGAGAAAGAUACGUAGCUAAAUGUUACGACGAUUGAAAAAUAGCACUCGAAACGAAUACCUAUGUAUUCGUAUUUUCAAAUCGAGAGAAAUCGUUGUCGAUUCGUCCGAUGUUCCAAUGCAUCUGCAUCGCAAUGUUUCAAUGGGGAAGAUCGAGAGACUCAGAGUACAUCGUGAUAAUUUAAUGGAAUCCAAAGGAGGAGUAUGGAUAUUUUAUUCUUUUCUUUUUUUUAUAGAGUGACUGUAGGGAAAAGAAAAAUAAAAUAAAGCAAAAAAGAGAGAAAGAAAUCGAAAGGAUAACAGUGAGUCAGUGGUCGUUGUAAAAAAAAAAAGAAAGAGAAAAAAACGUUUCAAAGAUUCACAGUUCUUGUCGGACAUCUCGGGUUAAAGGUUUUACGAACGAACCGAUACAAACGGGUCACACUGCACCUCCUAACGAUGUAAUCAUUUAAUGGACUUUCUCGUCGUAAGCGAUGAACCGUCAAGAAAAUCCAAGACGAGGGAUGAAAGUACGCGGUAAAUUCAACUCUUUUUCAUCGGCGCACCGAACGAUCCGUUCUUUGAUAUAGAAAAGGAUGGAGAGGAAGAGGAAAGUAAAAAGUUACGUUAGGAAAUAACACGAAAGCCUUCGAGUUUAGCAAACAAAAUUAAAUUACUCUGAAUAUAUAACUUUUACGUAUCUACGCGACCCCAUCUCCCGUCUAUAUCUACGAUAUUCUAAUCUAAUAACUUACUAUACAACUCAUUGUACAAUAUAUCAUCUACAAAUGUAUCGUCGACCAAAAUUAUGUUAUUAUAGAAUCUUUCCAAUUGAUUCUAUAUGAAAUAUAUUACAAAAUAUUAUUUAUAUCGUAUGACGAAUUAUCGGGCUUGAUUUUUAAUAAAUUUCUUUGUAAUUACACAAGAGAUUUUCGUGUCAACGAAAAAAGAAAAAUUGUUGGACGUAUCAGAAUACUUGUAACGUUUCCUAAAGGCACAAAAAGAUAUGAUGCUUUUACAGUAAACACGAUGCAUAAAUCUGUCCAGUCGUUGUUCUUCAUCGAAGCGUAUAAAAAAUAUGUCAAGCUUUUAUAUAUACAGAUAAAUACACACACAUGUAUAUAUAUAUACAUAUAUAUAUAAACACUCAUGUUAUACAUGAGCCUAUACAUGAGUCCGUAACAUAAGACCGUACAUAAGCCCCAUUACAUGAGUCCGUACAUGAACCGGUAAAUACAUAUGUAUCGAAUACAUAUCCAAGAUUCAAGAACAGCUUCCUCAAAGUUCGCAUUAAAAUGCUGAUAUGUUAAUGAGCAUCCAUAUAUACGAGAUAUUAUACACGAUUCACCGCUGAAGUUUCGAACGUAUAAUACGUUUAAUAUUAUUAUGCGACGAAGAGUACGAUAAUGUAUAGCUCGUGCAGCUACUCCAACUCUGUUAAUAUUUAUCGGUUUUACUCUACGUACUCCUAUCCGAAUGAAUAACAAAAUGCGAUACUCCUUCAAUAUAUUCAUAGAUUUAUCACGUUUAUAAUAUCACUUUGUUUCUUUUCAUUUUUAUUUUUAUCUCUCGCUUUUGUAUUUAUUUAUUUUAUUUUUCUUUUCUUUUCUUUUCUUUUCUUUGCUUUUUUUCUUUUUAAUAAACCAUCAGAACGUAUCCAUAAUAUAUAUUACAUAUAUAUAUAUAUAUGUUCGUUAAACAUUUAUUAUAUAUUAAUAUAAUCGAAGUAUUAUAUUUCUUAAACAUAACUUAAUGCUCGUUUUCUUUUCUUUCUCUCACUUUUCUUUUCUUUCUUUUUUUCCUUUCUCCUUUAAGUUUACGAUCUCGGAGCAUAGAUAUCGUUCAUGAAAACGACGGAUACAGACAGAAGACUACCUCCUGCCAAGAAUGAUUCUAGAAAGAGUCGAUAUCCCGCGGGUGUAUAUACGAUGGAAAUUUAUUUCGACCAAAUAAAAGACGAAUAAUACCACGAAAAUCUUCUGAAAGAAAGCUACGGAAAUAUACGGUAACAUCUGACGCGAAUCGAUAAGCUGCCAAUUCGAGAUGUUUACAAAUAGGAUUUGAAAAAUCAAUAAUAAUACUUUUCUAUAGUUCUUUUUAAAUCCAAUCUAUUUGUUAGAAAUAUAUAUCUAUACACACACAUGUAUAUAUAAUAUAUAUACACGUAUAGUUUUCUAUAUUUAUGAAACAGUACAAAGAAUUCGAGAUAUUAAACGUACGCGAGUAUUAAUUUAAAAUCACAUUCGUUUAAAAGGAAUUUACAUUAAUGCAUCCGUAGAAAUCAACGAAAAAGUAGCAACGAACGUGUUAACGUGUAGCAACAAACGUUAUUUUACCGAGUACUCGAAAACGAGAUAGAUAGAAGCCAUAUUCGAACUAUUCAUAUAUAUAUAUAUACACAUCGUGUCAACAUUUAUUAUUCACGACACAUCACAAGUUGGGAAAAGAGAGAAAGAGAGAGAAAGUGAGAGAAAGAGAGAGAUAGUGCACAGUGUCAAUUUUAAUAGCUCUCAUAUAGUCCUGACUGGCCAACGUGCUUUCAUAGUUUUAGGGAUUGUAAAUUGGAAUACAAGUGGCUAUUGUCGCUAUUAUUAAAUGAUUUUAACACGACUGACGUGAGCAACGUUAAUAUCCUCGUCAUUGUGAUUUUCUAAGUAAAUAUAUCUAUUAUAUAAAUUUCUAAAGAAAGAAAAAAAGCACACACACCUACACACUCAUAAACACAAAAGAGAAAAAAAAGAAAAAGUGUAUCUCGAACGAUGUUAACGAUCAAAAAUCUUUUCUCUUCUUAUUUUCACGUUAGACCCAGACGAAAAGAGAACGACCCAAGAGAUAUGUAAAAUAAUAUCUUAUCGGACUUGGAAAACCUCAAGAAAGUCUAACAUACUUCGUGAAAUCUCCUCCAACUCGUUUUCCCAAGCUCGUCCAUUUUCUACUUUGCAACUUGCCUUUCUCCUACGGUUACCCAUCUUUUUCCUUUGCUUCUCCUAUUAUUCGAGCCGUCAUCCAACCUUAUUCUCAUCCGUUUAACCGUAAGAUCCACAAUUGCAUAUAUCUCGAACGUUGAAUCUCUGAAACGGACAUGUUACUGAUCAAAACUGUUCGAGCUCGUGUCGUAUUUUUGACGUUUGACGUGAAAUCGAUUUUUAAAAAUGUAUAUUAGAUUAUUUUAACAAGAUAUGUAAAUAUAUAUAUAUAUAUACACAUGGUAUCUACAUAUAUAGAUUCGUAAAAGAAAAAUAACAAACGAAAUAGGUAGAUAUCCUUAUAUUACAAUUUGGUACUCUAACCGGACAUCAUCGGAUUUACGAAAAGGACAUCGCGAGAAAUCGCUUAUCGAACCGUAUAAAACGAAUCGAUGUUCGGUCGAUUGGAAAUUGAUCUUCGACAGGAAGGUCGAAGAUGACUUAUCACGAGAUAUCUUCCGUUUCCACAUAGUGAGAAAGGUUAUUGACCUCGACCGAUGUAUACACAUAUUUUCUCGUGUUUAAACAAACGGAAAUAUCUCAACUUGUACAUAUCGCUUUAUUUAUUUCAAACUUUUUUGACAAAAUUGUUAAUACGUAUCCCUCAUAUAUAUAUAUAUAUAUAUAUAUAUGUGUGUGUGUGUGUGUGUGUACAUAAUACAUAUGUACGCAGAUACAUACAUAUAUACAUGUUAUAUCUAUACCGC
Molecule: long non-coding RNA, 4374 nt
Organism: Vespula vulgaris
Lineage: Eukaryota; Metazoa; Arthropoda; Insecta; Hymenoptera; Vespidae
Exons: 3
Source: RefSeq, a predicted model, not a curated record